GCCAGGCGGCCCGGCACCGCUACGAGGUCGUGACGGAGCUGGGCCCGGAGGAGGUGCGCUGGUUCUACAAGGAAGACAAGAAGACCUGGAAGCCCUUCAUCGGCUACGACUCGCUCCGCAUCGAGCUCGCCUUCCGGACCCUGCUGCAGGUCACGGGUGCCCGGCCUCAAGACGAGGACCGGGACGGCGACCAUGUGUGUUCCCCCGCGGGGCGGGCCUCCAGUUCCGGAGAAGACGACGAUGAGGACCGCGCCUGCGGCUUCUGCCCGCGCUCGGCGGGGCACGAGCCCGAGAUGGUGGAGCUGGUGAACAUCGAGCCUGUGUGCGUGCGGGGCGGCCUCUACGAGGUGGAUGUGACCCAAGGAGAGUGCUACCCGGUGUACUGGAACCAGGCUGAUAAAAUACCAGUAAUGCGUGGACAAUGGUUUAUUGAUGGCACUUGGCAGCCUCUAGAAGAAGAAGAAAGUAAUUUAAUUGAGCAAGAACAUCUCAAGUGUUUUAGGGGCCAGCAGAUGCAGGAAAUUUUUGAUAUUGAAGUGUCAAAAUCCAUAGAUGGAAAAGAUGGCAGUGGGAUCAACUUUUCUGCUAUGCAUAGUUUCAAGCUGAGUCGAAACCAUGUGGACUGGCACAGUGUGAAUGAAGUAUAUCUUUAUAGUGAUGCAACAACAUCUAAAAUUGCAAGAACAGUUACCCAAAAACUGGGAUUUUCUAAAGCAUCAAGUAGUGGGACCAGACUUCAUAGAGGUUAUGUAGAAGAAGCCACAUUAGAAGACAAGCCAUCACAGACUACCCAUAUUGUAUUUGUUGUGCAUGGCAUUGGGCAGAAAAUGGACCAAGGAAGAAUUAUCAAAAACACAGCCAUGUAAGUUCUUUGACAAAUACAGUCUAUGUCUAGUCUAGAAUUCACACUUUCGUCCAGGGUAUAAGAAAUAUUAACAGUAUACUAAUUCCA
Molecule: long non-coding RNA, 952 nt
Filed under: Saimiri boliviensis boliviensis (Bolivian squirrel monkey)
Lineage: Eukaryota; Metazoa; Chordata; Mammalia; Primates; Cebidae
Description: lncRNA (ENSSBOG00000036780.1)
Source: RNAcentral